CAUAAGGAAUUUUUAUUUCUUAUGAUAAAAACAACUUUCAACAACGGAUCUCUUGGCUCUCGCAUCGAUGAAGAACGUAGCGAAUUACGAUAUGUAAUGUGAAUUGCAGAAUUCAGUGAAUCAUCGAAUCUUUGAACGCACCUUGCGCUCUUUGGUAUUCCGAAGAGCAUGCCUGUUUGAGUGUCAUGAAUCUCUCAAAUACAAUAAUUUAUUUUGAAUCAUUAUUAUUUGGACUUGGAAGUUUGUCGGCGCAAGUCGACUCUUCUUAAAUGCAUUAGCUGGGGUUUAUAUAGUUGGAUCCUUGGUGUGAUAAUUAUCUACGCCUUGAAGUCCCUGUAGACUCUGCUUCAAAUCGUCUCUUCAUGAGACAAUAUUUGAAUCAUCGACCUCAAACAGGUAGGACUACCCGCAA
Molecule: ribosomal RNA, 412 nt
Filed under: Waitea sp. CBS 315.84
Lineage: Eukaryota; Fungi; Basidiomycota; Agaricomycetes; Corticiales; Corticiaceae
Description: eukaryotic LSU rRNA
Rfam family: 5.8S ribosomal RNA (bases 33-186)
Source: RNAcentral